CUGAGCACAAACCAGUGUGUGUUUCUCAGUUCUCCUUGGAGAUUACACUUCGGUGAUGACGAGACAGAUGGAGUGAGUCCCUAGGCCUCUCCAGGACUAAACUGAAAAACCAUGGAUUUCACCAAAGCUCUUUGAGCCAGUGAGCCUCCCAGCAGAGUCUCUGUCCCUCCCUUGACUCAGACCUGGAAAUAUAGACAGGAUCCUUAAGCGUUUGCCGAGCUACUAAGAGAGAGAGAAGGUCUUGCUGGCUGACCUUCUUAGGUGGCCACAGAAGAGAAGGACGGGGCUCUGGGAGUUGUCUGUGUCCCAGCUUUUGCCGCUGUCUCGCUGGGUGACGCGAGGCGAGAGCUGUCAGUGUUCAGCGUGACAGUGCUGGCUUCUGGACUCACCGUCCCCGGCGGAGCCCGUUCGCAUGGCUGGGCUGAGCUGAGCAGACCCAGGGCAAUGUGUUGUGUUUGGUUCACCCGAGGCAGCCAAUCCAACAAUUCACUGAAAGGCAACCUGAAGGAGCGCUGAGUCCGUUCCAGCUGUUGGGAAGCAAACAGAUCGCAUCGGAGUGAGAUGACGGUAAUUUGUAAAGUUGCCUCAAUCUCCCUGAAAGCAAAGCUCGGUGACAUUUUCUGCCAGCCUGCUGAAGACACGGGUAUUCUUCGUUACCUUGCACACAGCUCUGCCUGUAGCUUUUGCAUCAGUCUGAGCUCCUGUGCAUCUGUUCAGAGCCUGUGUGCAGAAUUCUUGCAUGGUGACCCUGAUGUGAAGUGCCUUUGCAAUUUCUUCUAGCAGGCAUUGAUGGGCAGAUGUGCAGCACCUGCCAGAAUGACUACCUUAUCUUCAGCUGGAACCUAAGACAAAGAAUUUGCUGUAAUGAGCCACUGAUGGAGAAUUUCAUCCUGAUAUUUGCAGCACUAGCACAAGAAAAGUUGGUGCCACGACUUUCCUACUAGGGUUAAGGACAGCACCCAGAGCAAGUUGGGAGCCUUGAGGACCUGUGACUGUCUAAAACAUGUUUAGAUUUUAUUUGUUUGCAAGAGAAGAACCUAAUUUGCAUUGCUGGAAAACAAUGA
Molecule: long non-coding RNA, 1064 nt
Organism: Rhea pennata
Lineage: Eukaryota; Metazoa; Chordata; Aves; Rheiformes; Rheidae
Exons: 4
Source: RefSeq, a predicted model, not a curated record